AUUGAACGCUGGCGGCAGGCCUAACACAUGCAAGUCGAGCGGAUGAAGGGAGCUUGCUCCUGGAUUCAGCGGCGGACGGGUGAGUAAUGCCUAGGAAUCUGCCUGGUAGUGGGGGAUAACGUCCGGAAACGGGCGCUAAUACCGCAUACGUCCUGCGGGAGAAAGUGGGGGAUCUUCGGACCUCACGCUAUCAGAUGAGCCUAGGUCGGAUUAGCUAGUUGGUGGGGUAAAGGCCUACCAAGGCGACGAUCCGUAACUGGUCUGAGAGGAUGAUCAGUCACACUGGAACUGAGACACGGUCCAGACUCCUACGGGAGGCAGCAGUGGGGAAUAUUGGACAGAGGGCGAAAGCAUGAUACAGCCAUGCCGAGUGUGUGAAGAAGGUCUUCGGAUUGUAAAGAACUUUAAGUUGGGAGGAAGGGCAGUAAGUUAAUACCUUGCUGUUUUGACGUUAACAACAGAAGAAGCACCGGCUAACUUCGUG
RNAcentral lists this ribosomal RNA (484 nucleotides) under uncultured bacterium. RNAcentral's name for it is "partial 16S ribosomal RNA". It matches the Rfam family "Bacterial small subunit ribosomal RNA", at positions 30 to 507 of the family's 1533-position model. The record is from RNAcentral.